Molecule: ribosomal RNA, 270 nt
Filed under: uncultured prokaryote
Description: partial 16S ribosomal RNA
Rfam family: Bacterial small subunit ribosomal RNA
Source: RNAcentral
UACGUAGGGGCAAGCGUUAUCCGGAUUUACUGGGUGUAAAGGGAGCGUAGACGGCGAUGCAAGUCCGAUGUGAAAACCCGAGGCUCAACCACGGGAUUGCAUUGGAAACUGUAUUGCUUGAGUGCUGGAGGGGCAAGCGGAAUUCCUGGUGUAGCGGUGAAAUGCGUAGAUAUUAGGAGGAACACCAGUUGCGAAGGCGGCUCUCUGGACUGUAACUGACACUGAGGCACGAAAGCGUGGGGAGCAAACAGGAUUAGAUACCCCCGUAGU